This 500-nucleotide ribosomal RNA is filed under the name uncultured bacterium. RNAcentral's name for it is "partial 16S ribosomal RNA". It matches the Rfam family "Bacterial small subunit ribosomal RNA", at positions 30 to 523 of the family's 1533-position model. The record is from RNAcentral.
AUUGAACGCUGGCGGAAUGCUUUACACAUGCAAGUCGAACGGCAGCACGGGAGCAAUCCUGGUGGCGAGUGGCGAACGGGUGAGUAAAGUAUCGGAACGUGCCCAGUCGUGGGGGAUAACGUAGCGAAAGUUACGCUAAUACCGCAUACGAUCUAGGGAUGAAAGCGGGGGAUCGCAAGACCUCGCGCGAUUGGAGCGGCCGAUAUCAGAUUAGGUAGUUGGUGGGGUAAAGGCUCACCAAGCCGACGAUCUGUAGCUGGUCUGAGAGGACGACCAGCCACACUGGGACUGAGACACGGCCCAGACUCCUACGGGAGGCAGCAGUGGGGAAUUUUGAACAAUGGGCGAAAGCCUGAUCCAGCCAUGCCGCGUGCAGGAUGAAGGCCUUCGGGUUGUAAACUGCUUUUGUACGGAACGAAAAGGUUUGGCCUAAUAAGCUGAGCUCAUGACGGUACCGUAAGAAUAAGCACCGGCUAACUACGUGCCAGCAGCCGCCGUAA